RNAcentral lists this ribosomal RNA (253 nucleotides) under uncultured bacterium. Its description in RNAcentral is "partial 16S ribosomal RNA". It matches the Rfam family "Bacterial small subunit ribosomal RNA", at positions 524 to 776 of the family's 1533-position model. The record is from RNAcentral.
CACGUAGGGCGCGAGCGUUGUCCGGAAUUAUUGGGCGUAAAGAGCUCGUAGGCGGCCUGUUGCGUCCGCUGUGAAAGCCCGGGGCUUAACCCCGGGUCUGCAGUGGAUACGGGCAGGCUAGAGGGAGGUAGGGGAGAAUGGAAUUCCCGGUGUAGCGGUGAAAUGCGCAGAUAUCGGGAGGAACACCGGUGGCGAAGGCGGUUCUCUGGGCCUUACCUGACGCUGAGGAGCGAAAGCGUGGGGAGCGAACAGG